This 235-nucleotide long non-coding RNA is filed under the name Physcomitrium patens. RNAcentral describes it as "long non-coding RNA (PPAT_LNC008739)". Lineage: Eukaryota; Viridiplantae; Streptophyta; Bryopsida; Funariales; Funariaceae. The record is from RNAcentral.
CUUCUCAAAAUCCUAUGAAGAAAAAAAAACCCCAAUUCUCUGUCUUUUUUCCCCGUUGCGAAGCAUGAAGCUAGCUCUCCGACCCUUCUUCCAAAACCUUAUUCUUCCCCCCUUCAUUUCUUAACCUAUCCUCCCCUUUAACCCUAAUUCUCCUCUCUUUCAAACCCUAGCCUCUGAAUUUCUUCAAUCUUCCGUCUUGGAUCCAAAAUCGGUUCCCGCCGUCAAAGCUUUCUCC